AUUUACAAACAUCAUUAUUACAUCGCAAUUUUUUUAUAAAAAAAAUGUUUACAACAAUUUAUAAAAUAAUUAUUGUUUUCUUUUUUGUAUGGACAUGGGCCAAUAACAGUAAAGCACACUUAGAAAAUAUUUUAAGCGCAAAAUAUAGUAGGUCAUUGGCUCAACAUGAUAUUUCUCCGAACGAACAGAAUGAUCAUUCUUAUGUAGCAGAUUAUAACAACGACAAAACAUAUGAACCUAGUAAAAAUAUAAAAAAAUCUAAAAAUAAGAUUAAUGAAAAAAAUUUGCAAAAAGAAGAGUAUAAUGAAAAAAAAUCUAUUUAUUUAGCCGAAAUGAAGCAAGAAUUAAUUAAAAUAUUAUCUAACAAAAAUGAAACCCAAAAUAUACUAAAAGAAACAACAAAUAUACAAGAAAAAGAUUUACUAGAAAUAUAUGAUCUUAUUAAACAUGUCAUUCCAACUGACAAAUAUUUACAAAUUAUAAGAAAAAGUUGUGAAUUAUCAAAAAAUAAACAUCGUGAUGAUAAACACUAUGUUGAUACAUAUUACAAGUCAAUAUCACACUUAUUGCGCACAUACUUCUUUCUUACUAACAGUAAAAAAUAUUUUAGCAAAGAUUUUAUGCAGCUACAAAAUCAGGAACAACCACUAUCUAAAAACAAUAAAUUCACAUUUAAAUUGGAAUAUUUAAAUAUAUUCAGGCUCGUUAGAAUAAUAGAUAAAAUAUUUAAGACUAGUUUACUUAAACAAAUGAUAAACAAAGAAAUAAAUCCAAAUGCAAAAUUACCAUAUAAAAAACGUUUAAAGUUAUUUAGUUAUGCAUUUUUUUACCCAAUAUUACUAUAUGGAAUUUCAAUUUUUACUUUACCUUUAUGGUCUCUAGCCUCUACAUUUACAUUGCUAGGGCUGUAUGCAUCCUUAUGUGUACACUCUAAUUAUAAAUUCAUUAAAGACAUACAUUUUAUAAGACGAAUAAUGCAAAGAUCGGAACUAUUAAACAGAG
RNAcentral lists this long non-coding RNA (1002 nucleotides) under Piliocolobus tephrosceles (Ugandan red Colobus). RNAcentral's name for it is "lncRNA (ENSPTEG00000000265.1)". The record is from RNAcentral. Lineage: Eukaryota; Metazoa; Chordata; Mammalia; Primates; Cercopithecidae.